This 215-nucleotide unclassified non-coding RNA is filed under the name Hevea brasiliensis (rubber tree). The record is from RNAcentral. Lineage: Eukaryota; Viridiplantae; Streptophyta; Magnoliopsida; Malpighiales; Euphorbiaceae.
UAUAUAUAAGACAUAAGCCCCAGAAGCCUCAGGUUCAAUCUGCAUCAUUUCUCUCUACAUAAUUUGAUUAAUCAAACAUUUGUUAGAAAUAUACUGCACUAAAGUAGAAUAUGAUUGGAUAUGAAGAUCUACCAAAGAUCUUGUGUUCUACUUCUUUUUGGUUAUUUAACACAUCUAUUAUUUUACUAUCACAGAAAACCAUAUAGUCGUAAAAG